RNAcentral lists this long non-coding RNA (1011 nucleotides) under Bemisia tabaci. Its description in RNAcentral is "lncRNA ENSSSA1NGG003996". The record is from RNAcentral. Lineage: Eukaryota; Metazoa; Arthropoda; Insecta; Hemiptera; Aleyrodidae.
UGCCACAAGAUACUUUCCACGAGAUGAGGGGGGCUGAAACGAAAAUUGAGCCCUAAACUUAAAAAUUAUUCAUGUUCUCCUUGUACUGGGAGAAUAGCGCGGAUCGCACGCCGGACAGCGGCUCAGCGAGGAAGAAAUAUUGUGACAUCAUGGGUUAGGUUUUGCUCCUGUUUCCCGUGUGAACCACGGCCAGCCCUAGAUUGAUCAGCACUUUUCGCGAGAUGCUAUUGGCGUAAAGGGGCAGGACGCGCGGGACGUGGGAGCGGCGGUGCACGGUGACGCGCGUUUUCCGAAAAAAUUCUAAAGUCAGUCGCUCAUGUUCGCCGGGAUGGGAAAUGUCGCGAUUCCGUGUAAAGUCCAGGUGCACGUAAAAUUCCGGUGCUGGUGUGCUAGCUGUAGUUUUUGUCUAUUUUGAGUUUCGGUUGUUUUGGAGAGUUUUUGGAAGUUUGGAAGAUUUUGAAGAAGAUUUAGUUGUGUUUUUCGGUUUAGUUGUCCUGAAAUUUGAUUCGUGUAUUCUGUCUAUGGUUAUUAAAUCAAUCAAUCAUUCGUUUAAUCAAUCAAUUGUUGUCUUGUCAUCAUUCAACCAUGUGAGCUCCUAAAAUUCGCGGAUUGGUGGAGACCUCGCCCUUUAGGCGCCCCCGAAAUAUUCACGCUCUUUACGCCCCCAGAGCGAGCCCGUGCCAAGUGCGUUGCCGGGCGUGUUUUAGCGUUUCAGGGCCAGGUGAAAAGUUGUGAAAAAACGUUUUUUUUUUGGUUCACAAUUAAAAUGAGAAUAUAUUAGAGGAAGAAAAUGCAACGUUGCGAAUUAUGAUACGUGUUUUGAGAUAUCAUCCAGAAAUGACGUCAAGAAGAGGUCUAUGACUAUCUUUCUAACUUUUUAAAACAGGGUUUGAGGAGGGGUCGGUCAAUUCUUGUCAUCGGAGAUGGGGGGGGGUGGGUUGGGGGAGGAAGGAUCAAAAAAUUGAAAGAACUACUGAUUUCAAUAAUAGAAUGCCCCUAAAAUUGGACACU